This is a long non-coding RNA of Calidris pugnax (ruff), 6643 nucleotides long. RefSeq lists it as uncharacterized. Lineage: Eukaryota; Metazoa; Chordata; Aves; Charadriiformes; Scolopacidae. The transcript is spliced from 3 exons. The record is from RefSeq and is a predicted model, not a curated record.
CAGCGCCGCUCCGCAGGGCCCCGCGGGAGUUCAGCGGUGGCGGCCGGGGAAGGAGGAGGAAGUGGAAGCGGAGGAGGAGGAGGAUUAGCGGGGCUGGCGGAGAUGAACAUCGAAUGAGCACAUGGAGUUCCAGACGCUGAUCCUCGGAGAGUCCACGUGUGGCAGAAAGGAUGGAUAAUCUUUUGGCUCGGCUCCAGCCCGGUGGAGGCUGCGUCUGGUUGUUCCAGGCUGAUGUACAAAAAGGGCACAGCAUUUAUUCUGCCAGGGCGUUACAUGCAACAUUUGAUUUCAUUUAUAUAUCUGUGGGCAACCAUCCUGCUUCUUUCUUUAGAAUACACAUGACUGCACAUAGCAGAUCAUGCCUAGAAAAUACUGUGGUUCUGAAGUCAGAAAUUAACCUAUUCGUGCUGGGUUUUGUUAAGCAAGUUAGGCUCUGAUCACAAAAAUACACAGGCUCAUACCACCUUGAGCUCAAUUAUUUAAGCAAGUGUUCAGCAUGGUAGGUCUAGGCCCAGCUGGUUAGGAUUCUGAAAAACUGCUGACUAAUAAUAAAACAGGACUCCCGUGACUGCACCCCACCAAGUUAAAAAAAAAAUAAUUUAAGACCAAGGUAAAACGAUGGGUUUUCUUGAUUAAAGGCAAGCUAGAGCUUUAAGAUAGGCAUUGAACUUAAGUAAGGUGUAUGUGGCCUUAUCGUAUUCUUACAUAUUUUACAUGAAUCAGAAAUACAGAUGUUGCGGGCAUGUGAUGGCCCAGCAGAGGAUGAAACACUGAUACUGUAAACAAAGAUUGCUGACUUGAGUCUCUCUUCCCAAACCUAUUUCCAUCCAUCUAUAAAUAAGUUUGGUGCACAGAGUGCAAAUUUAGGUCACGGCAUUAUUGCUUCCUCUUCAUGGAGGAUGAUGUUCGUUUGAGUUGCUGCUUUCGAGUUCCAUCUGAAGCUACAAAGCAUUGCAAUCUUCAGCUGUUUCGUGUUCACACCGAUGUUUAAAGUCCUUUCUUUCUCCAGUGCCAGCAGGGGAUGGAGGUCAGGUGAGCAUUUCUGUACCUGGCAGGAACAGGUAUGCCUGGCAAGAUGCUUAGGAUGAAGGUGCAGAUGGCCUGUGAGCCUUUCUGUAUUGGAAUGAAUGGCUGAGGGCACUGACAGUCUCGCCCCUGUCUGUUGACUGGCAACUGGCAUUUUUUUAAGAGGCCAAGGGAUUUAAAGGGCUCCAUGUUCAGUGUAGUCUUCUAUUCAGUCCCCUUCUGCAGGGGCAGGUAGUUUAAUUGUGGAGGUAUGGACUGGACUUUUUGGCAAUUAUCGUUAUCAGUGAUAACGGUAAAUUACCUUUCUGUUGGCUUAAGCUAUCCAUUUGUGUCCUGCCUUAGCAACUACAUUUUAUGCUUGCAAGGGAUUGCUAGAAUGUUUGCUUUUGAACACACUGGUUCUUUUUCUGAGCAGCACAAAAGUAGGCCGUUUUGUAGAAAUGCUUGGUAAUGGUAGGACAUUGUGCAGUUGGAGUAACGCGCAGUUGUAGGAGAGAUCAGCACGGGGAACUAGGAUCCCGAGUUCUUGAUCUCAGCCUGGUCAUGACUUGCUGGGUGAUAUUAGGUGAGUUACUUGACCCUUUAGUGCUUAUCACUCUGUAAGCCAUGAAUCACACGUCCUGUGUAGAAGGAUGUUUAUUAAGAUUUUAAGAACGUCUUUAUGUGAACAUUCCUGGUGCCAUGUUACUUUGGUGACUGCAUAAUUGACGACCACGUGAUCCUCCAUGUUUUUAACUACUGUAUUGAUUCCCAUUUCUGACAGAUACAGUCAAAAAUAUGUCCUUGGCACUUAGCGUUCCAGUUAAAUGCUGUAUCACACCCACAUUUCUCAGUGCAGUAAUAUUAAAAAAAACCCCAACAAACAACCUCAAAAGCAAAGCAAGCUGUCCAGCCAACUGACAUUAAAUUGACAUGUUUUUUCUUCUGAAAGGCCAUAUUCUUAGCUGGCCUCUACCAUCGCGACUGCAUGUGAAGGAAAAAAAAAAAAUAAUCAUGGUGUAGUUGUGUAGUUGCUUGGCUGGGCUUUGAGAUUGCUUUGUGUUGGUGAUGCAAUGACCAAAGUUCAGCCCAGUGGUUUUAUGAUACAACCAGUGUGAGUGAGGUCAGGUUCAGGUUAUGGUUUUGGUCUCCUGCUGUGUUUGUUUUUUUCCCCACACGCAGAAAGAGAAUGUGUUGAGAAGUGUUACAGCUAUUUUCUCCUGCCCAGUGCCCCUAUUUCUAGGUUCCUCUUCUUUCUAGCUGAACUCUCCUGUAGGAUUGACAGUUCUUCAGCUUCUUGGUUUUUUUGUUGCUGUUACGUAUUACAAUUCCCCCCAAGGUUGUGAAACAUCCCUUGUUUAUUUUCACUUUCUUUUAGGGGUUGCUUCCCAGAUCUUCUUAAUUUGGUUUAAGAAGUUAGAAUUACCUGUAGCCACCAGGUAAAAUGACAGUCUUGAAUGGAUGAAAGUGACAGCUGCCUCCUUAGAAGGUCAGUUGUUAGCUGUAGUUAAAUGUUAUAUCACAAUAUUGGAAUAUUUUACAAGGUACAGAACUUGGACAGCAGUACAGAAACCAUAUUCUGUUAUAAUAUUCCCAACGGCUGCAGAUGUGUGCUUACACAGGACAAAAAAUAAGAAUCUGUGUCAGACAACAUCAUUUUUGCAGUGUUCCUGCCACUGGUUCUGCAAGGGUAUAUAUUAAUUUUUAUUUUAUAGCUACCACCAAUUAAGGAGAUGGAUAUGAACACUAGCCAAACACGAUUCAGAUGAGAACAAGACUAAAAACAGAGUAGACAAACAACAUGGCUGUAAUAUUUGCUGGCUCUCCAGUAAUGGCUUACGUAAAAGAAAGUUGGCUAUCAAUUAUUCAUCAGAGAAUUUAUAUAUCAGUAGAAACACAGAGGAGUGCUAGCUAUAACUGUACUGAAAUUAAAAGGGGAAUUAGGUUCAUAUAGAUACCAAACUUCAAGCAGAUCUAUGUAACAUUAAGACUCCCACCCACCUUUACCACUUCUUUACUGACACACAUCCUGUAUUCCAUUAACCACGUAAUUCACCCCUCGCUGCACUCUUCAUUUGUUGUAGCCUCUCAGUUAAAUGCACUAUUUCUAUAUAAAGCCCAUCAUUAGUGAGUUUUAUUGACAGUUUGCUACCGAACAGCCUAGAGCGGGAGUUGGAGUGACUCAGAGCAGGGAAGGCUGUGCAGCAUGCAACUCCCCGUGCAUGAAUCUGCAGAGAUAACGAGCCUCAUUCUCAUCGUCUGAGUUCAGCUCCGCUGAUUUCAUGCUUUCCACUGGUGCAAAUCAGAUCCGUACCGAUGUCUCUGGCGCCGCCCAGGUUAGACUCUGGUGGUGGGAGCUGUGGGUUAGUCAUGGCCUCGUUCCUUCUGAACUCUCUGACUGUCUAGGGCUGAUCCUGGGUGUGAGGAAGAAGACAUUUACCAGCACGGUUAGAAACCUCCCUUCCUGCUCUCCCUUCUUGGCGUGGAGGUUGCAGGAAGGCAUCUCUGGCCGGAGCCGCUUGCGUGGUGUCGCUCUGAGCCACUGCAGCUGUGCAAUACUUUCCCCAGCUGCGUGCAGCAGUGACGAAAGAGGAGAGAGAAAUCCCCUAGUGGUUGUGGAAAGAGUUACUGCUUGACUUCUCUAAGGUUUUCACGUAUCUUUAAUGUUUUCUAAAGAUAAUCUGAUUAUAUAAUCUGGGACAAAUACCACCGUUAUGUCUAAAACUUAAAAAUAGAUUCAAGAGUAUUGUUCAAGUGUCCAGAAUCCUGAGUGUUCGGGUACAGGCAGGAAAGUAAAAAAAGAUUUUUUUGAUAAUUACUGAGAUGAAAGAAUCCCACAGCUCAAUUUGCAAGUGUAAUUCUGAGUCCACAAAAAGAUGUAUUACCACUCUUUCUUAUUACUGGCAUAACUUUCAAAAUAAAAUACCAACAUGAAGGCGUAUGGAUAUUAUGUUAUGAAGAAUGUAAUUAGAAAUAAAUGGGAAUCGUUGAUUAAACUGGUUAUUCUUACAAUGUAUUGAACACUGUCGUUUGGUCCAUCACAUUUAGUCUUUUAACUGACAGCAGAAAAGGCACAGUUAAAGAUGUGGUAUGUUUACUUGUGAUUUCUUCCCUGCGUGUCUUUAUCUCUGGUUGUAUUAAAAUAAUUUGAUAUUUUACAUAAGUGCAUUCAGAAGCAGCAAAAUGCGUAGAAGUCAUUUAUCAUUUUGUUGAUGGAAAUUACUGUUAACUUAAAAGCUGAUGCUACCUGUUGGGAAAGUUGAAAUCUGUUUCCUGGGACAGUUAGUACAGAAUGAAGAAAUACUUGGCUGUUGUCCUGGUGCAUGCGGGGUUUGUCUCCUCCCUGGAAGGUCCUGCCUGGCCAUGAAGUGGAGCACCUGGAGUCCAUCCUGUGGUUGUAAUUUCAUGGGCUUUGAGCGUGGCCCUCUCCACUAUUUUUGAAACCACUUCCCUGUAGAUCCUUUGAAUUCUGUCGCUGUCUGCUAGACCCAUGAGGCCCCUCCAGUCUCUCUUACAGCAGUGCCGAACUCCACUUGGUUUUUUUUCCCCUCUUUCUGUUACUUUUUCAGAGAAUCCCGAGGGUCCUGUUUGGUCGCUCAGUGGGAAAGCGGAGGGUGGGAGAAAGCUUGCAAGGUCACCUCUGUUUGGAAGCAGCUCCGAGGACCUUCAGCCCUCCCCUCAGCAGCUGGCUUUUAAAUGACAAGAGAAGGUUGUGCUGAUACGGCCCAGGGGAAGGGCCCGCUUAGCGGACGAAGGCCCUGCAGAGUCCUCGUUGUCGGGCAGUGAUGAGAAAAGCUGCUCCCUUGCAGGGAAAGGCUUACGUUUCUCUCAGCACACUGUCACUGACUGCAGUGCCAUGUUUCCCUUUGCCUGCUCUGAGGUAAAGGAUCUGAAUUAAACUCGAGGCCUCCAGGAAGAGGAAGUGUUUGAACAAGGCAGGUGGACUGAGGGAAGCAGAAGGCGGUGGCCAGGACCCAUGGGACAGUGACAGCCACCCAAGCAGGCAGUAUUGAUCUCCCUUUGAGGAUCUGACUACCUCCAAGACACAAGUAUUAAAAUAGAAGAACACCAAUUAGAAAAUAUUGCUAAUUACUUAGUAGAGGGAAAUGUCGAGGGAGAAAGAGAAGAAAGGAAAAGAGGCCAGUGUGGAUGGAAUGUCAGUGAAAGAGGUCAGGAGGACGUUCUAGAGAAGCAGCACACAGCAGAGGUGGGUUGGUAUUUGAACGUCCAGGGAAUGAGGCAAGGAGGGAACAGAGCAGUUUGGUUGCAUGAUGUACAGUUACGGGAUGAACAGCUCAGUGCUGUGUGUAGGCUAGGUUUUGAAGUGUGGAUUGAAAUGGUACAAAAAGUUUUUGUUUCUUUAAAAAUGAAGAAAGUGGUUUUAAUGGUGUGUUGGAGGACAAAGUGAAAAGUUGCAAGUCUGAAAAUGAGAAGUGCUUGCCAGAGCUAUAAACAUGACCCUCCCUGGUUGUGCUCUAGUACUCAGAGUAUUUACAUGACCACAUGCUCUUUUUCAGUCAGAAUAAUAUAUUUGUCAGUAACAUAUCACUGCUGCACCAUGCUACAGUGUGCAUAGGUGUAUCUUCAGAUGAUUGAGGAAAAACCCUAAAUGUUACUGAGGUAUAAAGGGAAAUUAAUUCAGAUAUUUAGUAUCUAGAUUUUAUUUUACUUUUGCAUUUCACAGCAUGGUAGCAAAAACGUGGCAGAUUUUUCUUGGAAAAUUAGGAUGCAUUCCAGCAGAAAUUGAUGCAGAGACUCAGCUUUUUCCUAAAAAAUAGCUUCCACUAUUCCCCAUAGCUCAGUAUUUAGAGCUUGCAGGAUCAGAACCUAACAAGACAUACAUCCUUCUUACUGUUUGGUUUUUUUUUUCUUUCAGGAGAACAAAAAUCUCCAUGUCUCCAUGUUAAAAUGAUUGGAAAUUGAACUUGUGGGGGAUCUAGCAUGUGAUUACUUUUUUUAGACAGGAUUUUCUUCGUAGCUGAAUUGGACUGAGUCUUUUUUUUCUCCCAAACCAGAUGGUAAGUGAUUCAGUACUUUUAGCAGUAGAAAAAUGAUUUGUUUUCUUUCCUCAGUAGUUGGUGUGAAUGUACUUUUCUUUAUCUAUUUACAUAUUAUGUAAACACACUUUACCAGCGUUUAUGUACAUAGUUUGCAGUCCUAAUCCUGCAGAGAGCCCUGUAUAGGCAAGGCCUUGCACAUAGGAGAAGUUGACAUUGCUUACAGAAAGCUGUUUGCAUGGAACUCAUGGCAGGGUUGUAACUCUAUUUGUAUUUUUAUCUGUAUACUUACAUUAAUGACAUUGUACGAGGAUGCCAACAGAACCGUGAGUCCACAAUACAGCUGGGUAACUUUGCUCACUUUACUUUUUUUCACCUAACAAAGUCUCUGGGUGUGUCAGUGAUCUCUGCUGCUAUCUCCCUGUGGUAGGCUGUAGUCCGUGUGACACUUGAGUUAAAGUUAAAAGCUUUAUCCUUAUAAUAGGGUGUUGGGGCAAAAUCCUCUUGGUGUGCAGGGGGAGCGAGGGCCUCAUUCGUGUGACUUUUUGGACUUGUACUGAUGCUACUAGGGGGACUUCAUAAGGGAUUCCAGUAAUGGUGAGGAAUAUUUGGGAGAGUAUUAAAAAAAAAUUUCACAUACG